GUCCACGCUGUAAACGAUGGAUGCUAGAUGUUGUGGGUAUUGACCCCUGCAGCGUCGCAGCUAACGCAUUAAGCAUCCCGCCUGGGGAGUACGGCCGCAAGGCUAAAACUCAAAGGAAUUGACGGGGGCCCCGCACAAGCGGUGGAGCAUGUGGUUUAAUUCGACGCAACGCGCAGAACCUUACCUGGGUUAAAUCCGCUAGAAUCCCGCAGAAACGUGGGAGUGCUCUUCGGAGAGCUAGCGAGACGGUGCUGCAUGGCUGUCGU
Molecule: ribosomal RNA, 266 nt
Filed under: uncultured bacterium
Lineage: Bacteria
Description: partial 16S ribosomal RNA
Rfam family: Bacterial small subunit ribosomal RNA
Source: RNAcentral